Molecule: non-coding RNA, 45 nt
Filed under: Schistosoma haematobium
Lineage: Eukaryota; Metazoa; Platyhelminthes; Trematoda; Strigeidida; Schistosomatidae
Source: RNAcentral
AUUCAGCUGACGAGUCCCAAAUGGGGCGAAAUGUGCGUCCGGGAU